Long non-coding RNA from Oncorhynchus keta (chum salmon), 558 nucleotides. RefSeq lists it as uncharacterized. Lineage: Eukaryota; Metazoa; Chordata; Actinopteri; Salmoniformes; Salmonidae. The transcript has 3 exons. The record is from RefSeq and is a predicted model, not a curated record.
GUGAAAUGCCUUUUUUAACAAACUCUAAACCCAACGAUGCAGUAAUCAAUAUCAAUGUGGUACUAAAAAUAACAAGGUAGAACAUAAACACGGGAGAUAUAAAAAUAAGAAAUAAAAAGAACAGGAGAAAGUAAGAAGCUGUAAACAGAGUCAGUUCAUUACCAUAUUAACAAUGUACAGGGAUACUGGAGUGAUAGAGGUAGAUAUGUAGAGGGGUAAACAUACUAUAUACAGGGUCAGUUCAUUACCAUAUUAACAAUGUACAGGGAUACUGGAGUGAUGGAGGUAGAUAUGUAGAGGGGUAAACAUACUAUAUACAGGGUCAGUUCAUUACCAUAUUAACAAUGUACAGGGAUACUGGAGUGAUGGAGGUAGAUAUGUAGAGGGGUAAACAUACUAUAUACAGGGUCAGUUCAUUACCAUAUUAACAAUGUACAGGGAUACUGGAGUGAUGAGGUAGAUAUGUAGAGGGGUAAACAUACUAUAUACAGGGUCAGUUCAUUACCAUAUUAACAAUGUACAGGGAUACUGGAGUGAUAGAGGUAGAUAUGUAGAGGG